Molecule: long non-coding RNA, 721 nt
Organism: Mauremys mutica (yellowpond turtle)
Lineage: Eukaryota; Metazoa; Chordata; Testudines; Geoemydidae
Exons: 4
Source: RefSeq, a predicted model, not a curated record
CACCAUUAUCCAUCCGCUAAGCAAUAGCAGAUUUCUGGUGCCAUGCUCUCUGGAGGAGGAGACAUGAAGACGGGGAGUUUUGCCAUUGAUGCUGGAGCGCAGAGGAGAGGAAUUCGACUAGUAGGUUAACUGGGUGACUGCAGGCCCAGCACAAGAGGUCCGGUACACAAGCAGGGAGUGGAAAGACGCAACAGCAAUAUUAACAAACUGGUUAACGUCAACACCUGGCAAAAUCCUUGGGACCCUUUAAAGAAGAGACGGGCCUGGGCUGGGAACCCAGUUCUCCAACAUGCCACUGAGCACAGCAAGGGAGGAUUAGCACACACCCCUUGUUCCAGGGUCUCUCUGUCCACUGCAGUGCAAUCUGGGCUGCUGACCAGCACCAGGUGAACCAGCCGCAGAGCGAGCCUUGGUGUUCAGCUAGAGAAGAUUGAGAUGAAGGCCCUUUCAGGGCAUGUCUACACAGCAUUUUGGAGUGCAGCUACCAGCCCUGGCCUAAGAGGAGAAGGCCCUGUGCAGCUAAAGGUGUGGGAAGAGAAAGAAAGGAAGAAAGAAAAUGAGUGUAUUCCAGGACAAAGGAGUUAAAAUUUACAGCUAUUUCAAUCUGCAUCUGCAAAGGAUUUUUUCUUGCUUCCAACUGUUAAACUUCAAGUGUAAAGUGCUGCGCUCCUGUAUGGACAUUUGCUUUCAAUUAACGAAGCUAAAUCCUGAACUGAAAUAA